This 317-nucleotide long non-coding RNA is filed under the name Brassica rapa (field mustard). Its description in RNAcentral is "long non-coding RNA (BRAP_LNC006359)". The record is from RNAcentral. Lineage: Eukaryota; Viridiplantae; Streptophyta; Magnoliopsida; Brassicales; Brassicaceae.
GAAAAAAGUAAGAACUUUAUACAACAAGAAGUUACCAAAUGAAGAAAAAUCAGACAUAAGAACUUACCAAAACGCUCAGAAAAAUCCAGACGACUUCCUAGAAGUCCAGACGACUUCCUAGAAGUCCAGACGACUUCCUGGAAGUCCAGACGACUUCCUGGAAGUCCAGACGACUUCCUGGAAGUCCAGACGACUUUGUCAGAAGACUUCCAAGAAGUCCAGACGACUUCCAGACGACUUCCAGACAACUAACAGGUAAGUCGUCCGAGAAGUCUUCCAGAUCUGAAAAACCUGCACAUCAAAUCUAGAUCUGAAAA